RNAcentral lists this ribosomal RNA (253 nucleotides) under uncultured bacterium. RNAcentral's name for it is "partial 16S ribosomal RNA". It matches the Rfam family "Bacterial small subunit ribosomal RNA", at positions 524 to 776 of the family's 1533-position model. The record is from RNAcentral.
UACGAAGGGGGCUAGCGUUGUUCGGAAUUACUGGGCGUAAAGCGUACGUAGGCGGAUUGUUAAGUGAGGGGUGAAAUCCCGAGGCUCAACCUCGGAACUGCCUUUCAUACUGGCAAUCUUGAGUCCGGGAGAGGUGAGUGGAACAAGCGGUGGAGCGGUGAAAUGCGUAGAUAUCGCUUGGAACGCCAACGGUGAAAACAGCUCGCUGGGGGUGUGCUGACGCUGAGACACGAAAGCCAGGGGAGCGAACGGG